Molecule: long non-coding RNA, 449 nt
Organism: Bubalus bubalis (water buffalo)
Lineage: Eukaryota; Metazoa; Chordata; Mammalia; Artiodactyla; Bovidae
Exons: 2
Source: RefSeq, a predicted model, not a curated record
CCGGAGAAACUGUUGGUUUUACAGUGGGAAAAGAAACAGCCGGUUUUCCACCAGCGGGAAUGAGCCCGUGGAGGAGAAGGAGGCGAGCCAUUGCCGAGAGGAGAGUGUGAGGGCUGGCCUGGAACUAACUGCUCAGGCGGUUCGCUCAGCCACAGCUCCAAGGGGAGUCUGACCAUAAAUGACUGAAAGAAACCAGUUGGCCUCUGUCUGCCCUGUUACCACAGCUGGUGGUCUUCCACUUCCCCACCGAUCCUGACCCAGCCCUGCCCUUCUCUGUCCUUCACCGGGGAUGGAAGUCCUCACUGCCUGCCAGGUUCACCUGCUGCCUGGCUCCAAAGAGCCACAUUUCAGAAUUUUGUGACUGGCAGCAUCUCACUUCUAAGUGUCAGUGUCUGGUCCAGAUACGUGCUGCUGCAUAAUAAACAACCCCAAACCUCAGCGGCUUAAAA